GGUAGUGUGGCCGAGCUGUCUAAAUUGCUGGAUUAAGGCUCCAGCCCCUUUGGAGGGUGAGGGUUCAAAUCCCACUGCUGCCA
Molecule: non-coding RNA, 83 nt
Organism: Gavia stellata (red-throated loon)
Lineage: Eukaryota; Metazoa; Chordata; Aves; Gaviiformes; Gaviidae
Source: Rfam